GAUGAACGCUGGCGGCGUGCCUAAUACAUGCAAGUCGAGCGAACGGACGAGAAGCUUGCUUCUCUGAUGUUAGCGGCGGACGGGUGAGUAACACGUGGAUAACCUACCUAUAAGACUGGGAUAACUUCGGGAAACCGGAGCUAAUACCGGAUGAUAUUUUGAACCGCAUGGUUCAAAAGUGAAAGACGGUCUUGCUGUCACUUAUAGAUGGAUCCGCGCUGCAUUAGCUAGUUGGUAAGGUAACGGCUUACCAAGGCAACGAUGCAUAGCCGACCUGAGAGGGUGAUCGGCCACACUGGAACUGAGACACGGUCCAGACUCCUACGGGAGGCAGCAGUAGGGAAUCUUCCGCAAUGGGCGAAAGCCUGACGGAGCAACGCCGCGUGAGUGAUGAAGGUCUUCGGAUCGUAAAACUCUGUUAUUAGGGAAGAACAUAUGUGUAAGUAACUGUGCACAUCUCGACGGUACCUAAUCAGAAAGCCACGGCUAACUACGUG
RNAcentral lists this ribosomal RNA (497 nucleotides) under uncultured bacterium. RNAcentral's name for it is "partial 16S ribosomal RNA". It matches the Rfam family "Bacterial small subunit ribosomal RNA", at positions 28 to 507 of the family's 1533-position model. The record is from RNAcentral.